This 76-nucleotide transfer RNA is filed under the name Candidatus Segetimicrobium genomatis. Its description in RNAcentral is "Terrabacteria group bacterium ANGP1 tRNA-Phe". It matches the Rfam family "tRNA". From Rfam's summary of the family: Transfer RNA (tRNA) molecules are approximately 80 nucleotides in length. Their secondary structure includes four short double-helical elements and three loops (D, anti-codon, and T loops). Further hydrogen bonds mediate the characteristic L-shaped molecular structure. tRNAs have two regions of fundamental functional importance: the anti-codon, which is responsible for specific mRNA codon recognition, and the 3' end, to which the tRNAs corresponding amino acid is attached (by aminoacyl-tRNA synthetases). tRNAs cope with the degeneracy of the genetic code in two manners: having more than one tRNA (with a specific anti-codon) for a particular amino acid; and 'wobble' base-pairing, i.e. permitting non-standard base-pairing at the 3rd anti-codon position. The record is from RNAcentral. Lineage: Bacteria; Bacillati; Candidatus Sysuimicrobiota; Candidatus Sysuimicrobiia; Candidatus Sysuimicrobiales; Candidatus Segetimicrobiaceae. RNAcentral also lists the same sequence under 1 other name.
GCCGGGGUAGCUCAGGUGGUAGAGCAGGGGACUGAAAAUCCCCGUGUCGGCGGUUCAGCUCCGUCCCCCGGCACCA